AGGCCUGUGCUGCCAUACUGUUCCCGUCUCUAAACAGUGUUUACCACAGAGCAGAUACCUGAGGUUUUUGUGGAUUGUUCCUGUGUUGCUUUACCUAAUAGUCAUGUGCUCAAGCAGUGUGCUGGUUCCUGUUUAUAUCUCCAGGGGUUCUGCGCACCUCAGGUUUUAUCAGUGCACCCACCCACUCUGGGCGCUAGAUGCUCUGGAUCUUUGGACUUUCUCAGUUUACUGGUACAGCUGGUCUCAGUUUUGAUUUUUUUUUGGAGCUGGGGACCGAACCCAGGGCCUUGCGCCCCCUUGGUCUCAGUUUUGAAAUGGGGAAAAACCUGUGUAUUGUUGGUUGCAUCCAUUCCCUUCCUUUAUUACAGUUGGAGGGCAGCCACACACCUGAACCAAAGGAAAAUGGAGAACAAGGUUGUCUUCAGAACGGGCUUUCUCUACCCAUGGUAGAGGAGAGGGAGGUCCUGUCACACUCUCUAGAAGCAGAGCACAGGUUAUUGAAAGCAAUGGGGUGGCAGGAGUAUCCUGAAAAUGAUGAGAGUUGCCUUCCACUCACAGAGGAUGAACUCAAGGAGUUUCACACGAGAACAGAACAGCUACGAAGGAACGGGUUUGUAAAGAAUGGCUUCUUACAAGGCCGUAGUUCCAGCCUGUUCUCCCCAUGGAGAAGCACUUGCAUUGCAGAGUGUGAGGACUCAGACACGGAAACAAGCAGCAGCGAGACGUCAGACGACGACGCCUGGAAGUAGAAGUAGAAAUGCUCGCAGCUGCCCUGCCCCGCUGAGCUCGGCCUUGUGUUAGAGAAUAUAAAGUUCUUUCCUUUCUUCUGUUGUUGAAUACUUCGUGCACAAGGGAAAUAGUCAUAUCCCAAAGACAGAGCCAUUGUCCUGCUUAGCUUUUGUUGUUCUUCCCUGUUAUCUGCUCAGUAGACAUUUGUGUGGUGGGAAUUUUUAAGCACACACAGUACCUGUUGGGCUGUGCACAAGUGGGAGCUGUGCAGGCAAAGAUGCAGGGAGGGGC
RNAcentral lists this long non-coding RNA (1020 nucleotides) under Rattus norvegicus (Norway rat). RNAcentral describes it as "long non-coding RNA NONRATT022524". The record is from RNAcentral. Lineage: Eukaryota; Metazoa; Chordata; Mammalia; Rodentia; Muridae.